UAGGGAAUCUUCCGCAAUGGGCGAAAGCCUGACGGAGCAACGCCGCGUGAGUGAUGAAGGUCUUCGGAUCGUAAAACUCUGUUAUUAGGGAAGAACAAAUGUGUAAGUAACUAUGCACGUCUUGACGGUACCUAAUCAGAAAGCCACGGCUAACUACGUGCCAGCAGCCGCGGUAAUACGUAGGUGGCAAGCGUUAUCCGGAAUUAUUGGGCGUAAAGCGCGCGUAGGCGGUUUUUUAAGUCUGAUGUGAAAGCCCACGGCUCAACCGUGGAGGGGCAUUGGAAACUGGAAAACUUGAGUGCAGAAGAGGAAAGUGGGAUUCCAUGUGUAGCGGUGAAAUGCGCAGAGAUAUGGAGGAACACCAGUGGCGAAGGCGACUUUCUGGUCUGUAACUGACGCUGAUGUGCGAAAGCGUGGGGAUCAAACAGG
This 429-nucleotide ribosomal RNA is filed under the name Actinomycetes bacterium. RNAcentral describes it as "Actinobacteria bacterium partial 16S ribosomal RNA". It matches the Rfam family "Bacterial small subunit ribosomal RNA", at positions 355 to 776 of the family's 1533-position model. Lineage: Bacteria; Bacillati; Actinomycetota; Actinomycetes. The record is from RNAcentral.